Molecule: long non-coding RNA, 880 nt
Filed under: Homo sapiens (human)
Lineage: Eukaryota; Metazoa; Chordata; Mammalia; Primates; Hominidae
Description: PCBP1 antisense RNA 1
Source: RNAcentral
GAACACAAAAUGGCGACACGUGGUUAGCAUUCGUCGCCAACGAGAAAUUGGGGUCGGCCCGAAAGCUCUAGAAUGCACCCCUCUUCCUCCCCGGGGCCUUCCACCUCCGCGAGUUUUAUGACUUAAAAAAGCCCACAGGCUGGUCUGAAGGUCGGAGGCCUAAUUUUAACGCGUUUUCCUCCCUUUAAUUUGAAACGGGAACGCGAAUGACUGUAAAAUGUGGGCACAAUAUUUAAUCUCUCGCCUUUUUAAAGCUUAAUAGUGGAUAAUAGGGGGGCAGUAUCAAGGGAUAAUUUGGGUCCCCACAGUACCAAAGCAUUUAGAAACCUCUGUUUAAUUUAAGGAAUGAGAUAAGUUACUGCUUUUCUAGACUUCCUAGCAUGGGCUGUUGUGCUGGAGAGAACGAGAGCUACGAAGAGACUACAGUGCCUCUGACUUUUUCAUAGGACAGUUGGCCGAGGAAGACAAACAUAAAGAUGAAGUGCUUAAUUCAAGGUCACACAAUGUCGGGGAUGGACCUCCAGAUUUCCUUACUGGAAAACAAGCUCAGGGCUCCCACUGAUUGUACAUUAUGGUGAGACGUGGUCUUGUAACACAGUGGUUAAGAAUGUGACUUUGGAGCCAGCCUGCUAGGGGCUGAAUUCUGACUCAGCCAUUUACUAACUGUGUGACCUUAGGUCACAGAAUUUUCCACACUCCUUGACAGAGGUGCUUAACCCUUAUCCAUCAGCAUUCUCAGACAGCACCUCCGGUUAGGGACAGUAUCUGACCGUCCGACAUCCCUGCAGCCCCCAUGUGUCACACAGACUCAGCCUCAGGUAGAUGGUUUCCGUAGAUGGUGGCUUUCUUUGGACCCUUGACAUCAACCAGUUACUAUUUG